Molecule: ribosomal RNA, 322 nt
Filed under: Allapsidae sp.
Lineage: Eukaryota; Cercozoa; Glissomonadida; Viridiraptoridae
Description: SSU rRNA
Rfam family: Eukaryotic small subunit ribosomal RNA (bases 106-322)
Source: RNAcentral
GAUUUCUGGCCUGGUGCGCCUGGCCCACCACCGCUAGGUGUGUGAGUGCUGGGUCGUACCUGCCAUCCUUCUAGAGAACGUUCGUACCAUUCAUUUGGCCGCGGACGCAAUCUAGAUCUUUUACUUUGAAAAAAUUAGAGUGUUUAAAGCAGGCUUUUGCUAUGAAUACAUUAGCAUGGAAUAAUAAUUUAGGACUUCGGUUCUAUUUUGUUGGUUUCUAGGACUGAAGUAAUGAUUGAUAGGGAUAGUUGGGGGUGCUAGUAUUCAGUGGCCAGAGGUGAAAUUCUCGGAUUCACUGAAGACUAACUUAUGCGAAAGCAUU